ACUACGGGCGGCAGCAGUAGGGAAUCUUCCACAAUGGACGAAAGUCUGAUGGAGCAACGCCGCGUGAGUGAAGAAGGGUUUCGGCUCGUAAAGCUCUGGGGGUAGUGAAGAAAGAUAGAGGUAGUAAGUGGCCUUUAUUUGACGGUAAUGACUUAGAAAGUCACGGCUAACUACGUGCCAGCAGCAGCGGUAAUACGUAGUGGGCAAGCGUUGUCAGGAUUUAUUGGGCGUAAAGCGAGUGCAGCCGAUUCAAUAAGUCUGAUGUGAAAGCCUUCGGCGCAACCGGAGAAUUGCAUCCGAAACUGUUGAACUUGAGUGCAGAAGAGGAGAGUGGACCUCCAUGUGUAGCGGUGGAAUGCGUAGAUAUAUGGAAGAACACCAGUGGCGACGGCGGCUCUCUGGUCUGCAACUGCCGCUGAGGCUCGAACGCAUGGGUAGCGAACAGGAUUAGAUACCCUUGUAGUC
RNAcentral lists this ribosomal RNA (465 nucleotides) under uncultured bacterium. RNAcentral describes it as "partial 16S ribosomal RNA". It matches the Rfam family "Bacterial small subunit ribosomal RNA", at positions 338 to 795 of the family's 1533-position model. The record is from RNAcentral.